Molecule: ribosomal RNA, 465 nt
Filed under: Vreelandella stevensii
Lineage: Bacteria; Pseudomonadati; Pseudomonadota; Gammaproteobacteria; Oceanospirillales; Halomonadaceae
Description: partial 16S ribosomal RNA
Rfam family: Bacterial small subunit ribosomal RNA
Source: RNAcentral
CCUACGGGGCGCAGCAGUGGGGAAUAUUGGACAAUGGGCGAAAGCCUGAUCCAGCCAUGCCGCGUGUGUGAAGAAGGCCUUCGGGUUGUAAAGCACUUUCAGUGGGGAAGAAAGCCUUGGGGCUAAUACCCUCGAGGAAGGACAUCACCCACAGAAGAAGCACCGGCUAACUCCGUGCCAGCAGCCGCGGUAAUACGGAGGGUGCGAGCGUUAAUCGGAAUUACUGGGCGUAAAGCGCGCGUAGGCGGUCUGAUAAGCCGGUUGUGAAAGCCCCGGGCUCAACCUGGGAACGGCAUCCGGAACUGUCAGGCUAGAGUACAGGAGAGGAAGGUAGAAUUCCCGGUGUAGCGGUGAAAUGCGUAGAGAUCGGGAGGAAUACCAGUGGCGAAGGCGGCCUUCUGGACUGACACUGACGCUGAGGUGCGAAAGCGUGGGUAGCAAACAGGAUUAGAUACCCGGGUAGUC